UAUCAUACAUAGCCCGCCAUUUAGAUGUAAUUAAAAAUGGUCUUUUGUCUUUCUUAUGGCCUUGAAAUAUCAAAUGACAAAGUCCUGGAUCAAUAAAAAAACCUAAGAUGAUAACAGAGACUAAGAGUGAAGGAGGACACCAAAAGGAUUCAGGUGUCCCAAAUCCUGCAGUUUAGGCACCCAGCGAUGUAUCCAAGCUCACAUUUAAAAGAGAGAAAUUCCAUUCAUAUUGCACUGGGACUGGUAGCUAAAGAGAAAAUGUGUAGCACCAAAAGCCAUAAACAUUGCAAGUGAAUCACAAGCUUAUUCAGAUAUCCAAAGAUGGAUCUCAGUUAUGGAACUAUGAGACAGUAGAAAUCCCUAGACUUCAGAGUCAAUCCCAAGUGCAAACCCAACUCUACUAUUUCCAAGCUGUGUGAUCUUGAGAAAGUGAUACAAAACCACCUUAAGGAAAUUACUGCCUGCCUCCUGAAACAAAGUGUUUAUUCUCUGAUUUGAUGGUCCCUACCUCCUCUUAUGGAAACUGUACUGGAUACUUUUUAGUUUACAGAAGAAAUGAAGCAUAUGUCUAAGGCAUGAGGCCCUUCCAGAAGAAGGAAAGUCUGGAUUUGAGUCCUAAGGAGGCUUGUUACAGAAUGAGGACGCUGGCCACCCUUAGGAGGUGUUUCGCAUGUGAAGAAAAGGAGUAGAGAAGAGGCAAGCAGGUGCUGAGAAAAAGCUCUGCUUACUUUGGCACUUGUUCUUGUGUCCAGUGAGGGACAUCUCACCAAUUAGGAGUUACAAAGGACAAAACAAA
Molecule: long non-coding RNA, 796 nt
Organism: Symphalangus syndactylus (siamang)
Lineage: Eukaryota; Metazoa; Chordata; Mammalia; Primates; Hylobatidae
Source: RefSeq, a predicted model, not a curated record